This 380-nucleotide ribosomal RNA is filed under the name uncultured Fusobacterium sp. RNAcentral's name for it is "bacterial SSU rRNA". It matches the Rfam family "Bacterial small subunit ribosomal RNA", at positions 355 to 748 of the family's 1533-position model. The record is from RNAcentral. Lineage: Bacteria; Fusobacteriati; Fusobacteriota; Fusobacteriia; Fusobacteriales; Fusobacteriaceae.
UGGGGAAUAUUGGACAAUGGACCAAAAGUCUGAUCCAGCAAUUCUGUGUGCACGAUGACGGUCUUAGGAUUGUAAAGUGCUUUCAAUUGGGAAGAAACAAAUGACGGUACCAAUAGAAGAAGCGACGGCUAAAUACGUGCCAGCAGCCGCGGUAAUACGUAUGUCGCAAGCGUUAUCCGGAUUUAUUGGGCGUAAAGCGCGUCUAGGUGGUUUGGUAAGUCUGAUGUGAAAAUGCGGGGCUCAACUCCGUAUUGCGUUGGAAACUGCCUAACUAGAGUAUCGGAGAGGUGGGCGGAACUACAAGUGUAGAGGUGAAAAUUCGUAGAUAUUUGUAGGAAUGCCGAUAGAGAAGUCAGCUCACUGGACGAAUACUGACACUG